Molecule: ribosomal RNA, 576 nt
Filed under: Escherichia coli
Lineage: Bacteria; Pseudomonadati; Pseudomonadota; Gammaproteobacteria; Enterobacterales; Enterobacteriaceae
Description: partial 23S ribosomal RNA
Rfam family: Bacterial large subunit ribosomal RNA
Source: RNAcentral
CCAGUACCGUGAGGGAAAGGCGAAAAGAACCCCGGCGAGGGGAGUGAAAAAGAACCUGAAACCGUGUACGUACAAGCAGUGGGAGCCUCUUAAUGGGGUGACUGCGUACCUUUUGUAUAAUGGGUCAGCGACUUAUAUUCUGUAGCAAGGUUAACCGAAUAGGGGAGCCGAAGGGAAACCGAGUCUUAACUGGGCGUUAAGUUGCAGGGUAUAGACCCGAAACCCGGUGAUCUAGCCAUGGGCAGGUUGAAGGUUGGGUAACACUAACUGGAGGACCGAACCGACUAAUGUUGAAAAAUUAGCGGAUGACUUGUGGCUGGGGGUGAAAGGCCAAUCAAACCGGGAGAUAGCUGGUUCUCCCCGAAAGCUAUUUAGGUAGCGCCUCGUGAAUUCAUCUCCGGGGGUAGAGCACUGUUUCGGCAAGGGGGUCAUCCCGACUUACCAACCCGAUGCAAACUGCGAAUACCGGAGAAUGUUAUCACGGGAGACACACGGCGGGUGCUAACGUCCGUCGUGAAGAGGGAAACAACCCAGACCGCCAGCUAAGGUCCCAAAGUCAUGGUUAAGUGGGAAACG